RNAcentral lists this ribosomal RNA (495 nucleotides) under uncultured bacterium. RNAcentral's name for it is "partial 16S ribosomal RNA". It matches the Rfam family "Bacterial small subunit ribosomal RNA", at positions 28 to 507 of the family's 1533-position model. The record is from RNAcentral.
GACGAACGCUGGCGGCGUGCCUAAUACAUGCAAGUAGAACGCUGAAGGAGGAGCUUGCUUCUCUGGAUGAGUUGCGAACGGGUGAGUAACGCGUAGGUAACCUGCCUGGUAGCGGGGGAUAACUAUUGGAAACGAUAGCUAAUACCGCAUAAGAGUAGAUGUCGCAUGACAUUUGCUUAAAAGGUGCAAUUGCAUCACUACCAGAUGGACCUGCGUUGUAUUGGCUAGUUGGUGAGGUAACGGCUCACCAAGGCAACGAUACAUAGCCGACCUGAGAGGGUGAUCGGCCACACUGGGACUGAGACACGGCCCAGACUCCUACGGGAGGCAGCAGUAGGGAAUCUUCGGCAAUGGACGGAAGUCUGACCGAGCAACGCCGCGUGAGUGAAGAAGGUUUUCGGAUCGUAAAGCUCUGUUGUAAGAGAAGAACGAGUGUGAGAGUGGAAAGUUCACACUGUGACGGUAUCUUACCAGAAAGGGACGGCUAACUACGUG